Long non-coding RNA from Oryzias latipes (Japanese medaka), 451 nucleotides. RefSeq lists it as uncharacterized. The record is from RefSeq and is a predicted model, not a curated record. Lineage: Eukaryota; Metazoa; Chordata; Actinopteri; Beloniformes; Adrianichthyidae.
UGGUGCCUCUGUCAGACUCCUCCCCCUCUCCCCUCUGCUUGGCCUAAUUCACCGCAGCUGCCGCCACUCUACUCAUCAGCCUGCCAGAUCUUCUUAAGGAGCUCCAGGACCAGUACUCAACGCGAGUUCGUUGCCUCUAAUGGAAAACCCUAGCCCACGAGUGAGCGGUCCAGCAGACGUGCCAAGCAAUCUUCCAUCUACACUCACCUCCUGCUGUGGAGCGCUGUUGGAUCUUACGGCUACUCCCACGUCACGGUCAGGUUCCUCGAGCUGCUCCUCCUGUCCGCUUCUGGUCUCGGAUCCACGUACUCCCUCCAGCCACGUCGCCUCCCUGCCGUACCAAGACUACAUCACCAGCUGAAGCAAUAAACCCACUUCUUAUCUUAACUCACCUCCUGUCAUCUUUCCGGGUUCCAGCAUCUGGGUCUGUCUAGCCUAGCCAGUCAUGACA